UACGAAGGGGGCUAGCGUUGCUCGGAAUCACUGGGCGUAAAGGGUGCGUAGGCGGGUCUUUAAGUCGAGUGUGAAAGCCCCCGGCUCAACUGGGGAGGGUCAUUCGAUACUGAUCGACUCGAAGGCAGGAGAGGGAAGCGGAAUUCCCGGUGUAGUGGUGAAAUGCGUAGAUAUCGGGAGGAACACCAGUGGCGAAGGCGGCUUCCUGGCCUGUUCUUGACGCUGAGGCGCGAAAGCUAGGGGAGCAAACGGG
This 253-nucleotide ribosomal RNA is filed under the name uncultured bacterium. RNAcentral's name for it is "partial 16S ribosomal RNA". It matches the Rfam family "Bacterial small subunit ribosomal RNA", at positions 524 to 776 of the family's 1533-position model. The record is from RNAcentral.